GGAAACCAUUGUGACCUGGAGCUCUAUCCUGAGUAUAUCAAGCACCUGAAGAAGUUCAUAUCAACAGUGGAGAAAUCCCCGUCCCAGAGGUACAGUACCAGGAAGAGCAUGGACCAGAUUGAGAAACCUCGAAGGAGCGUAGAGUUUUUCGAAGUUUCGAGGAAGAGCACAGAUAGGCGUGAAAAACCAAGGCAAAGCACUGAUAGGCCUGAAAAAAUGAAGAACCAACAUGGUAAUACAGAUAAAUUAGAAAAAGUGAGAAUGUCGGUGGACCAUAAAGAAAGGUCACGUAGGAGCAUUGAUUCUCAUGAGAAGUCUAGAAAAAGUGUCGAUCACCAG
Molecule: unclassified non-coding RNA, 339 nt
Filed under: Hevea brasiliensis (rubber tree)
Lineage: Eukaryota; Viridiplantae; Streptophyta; Magnoliopsida; Malpighiales; Euphorbiaceae
Source: RNAcentral